RNAcentral lists this unclassified non-coding RNA (346 nucleotides) under soil metagenome. Its description in RNAcentral is "partial contains 5.8S ribosomal RNA, internal transcribed spacer 2, and large subunit ribosomal RNA". The stretch from base 1 to 120 matches the Rfam family "5.8S ribosomal RNA", at positions 35 to 154 of the family's 154-position model. The record is from RNAcentral.
GAUGAAGAACGUAGCAAAAUGCGAUAAGUAAUGUGAAUUGCAGAAUUCAGUGAAUCAUCGAAUCUUUGAACGCACAUUGCGCCCGCUGGUAUUCCGGCGGGCAUGCUUGUUCGAGCGUCAUUUCAACCCUCAAGCCCCCGGGUUUGGUGUUGGGGAUCGGCUCUGCCUUCUGGCGGUGCCGCCCCCGAAAUACAUUGGCGGUCUCGCUGCAGCCUCCAUUGCGUAGUAGCUAACACCUCGCAACUGGAACGCGGCGCGGCCAUGCCGUAAAACCCCAACUUCUGAAUGUUGACCUCGGAUCAGGUAGGAAUACCCGCUGAACUUAAGCAUAUCAAUAAGCGGAGGA